UUCACAUCCUGGUAAAGCGGCUAUCAACAAAUAUAUAUAUACCUCUGCCAAUCAAAGCACUGCACGGGAGAAGGGAAGAUGAAGAAAACAGUCGUCUGACUUUUCUUGCCACUGCUUUGAAACCCACCGCCCCAACCUGGUGUUUAUCUCGCUUCAUUUCUCCUUUUCCUGUGAUCACCGCUGCGGCGCAGUGAAUCAAGGGACAGAACUCCACGUCAGCUGCACACAGGUUGCAGACGACAACAUGGUGGCAGUUGAAGAAAAUGGCGUUAGCUGUGCGAGCUUCACACACGCAGCAUGGUAUGGCUUCUCUUCCCUCCAGUGUCGACGCCCCUGCAGCGAACAGACGUCAAGUAUAACAGGCAAAACGACGCCCCACGGUCCAGCAGCGAGAAGGUGGGAGGAGGGUGGAGGUCCCCCGUCGUGUAGCCGCAGUCAGGGGUCCAGGACGUCCUCGCCGUCAAGCACGUCAAGCACGCCCAAUGGGUCAUCUGGCCACGGUGCCUAAUCAACAACACUAUGUCGCAGGUAUGACAAGAUCUGAAGUCGUAGAAGACAGAAGAGAGGGACUCGCUAGGAUUGUUGGCAUUAGGUUGACAAUGUACCCUGUGAUUGCUAUUGACAUCAGCUGCUUUACACUAUUUCAUUGUAACCACUACAAGCAGACCUGUUGUUUGAUUUUAUAAUAAACAACUGCUAUAGGCUGUAACUGCU
This is a long non-coding RNA of Pomacea canaliculata, 714 nucleotides long. RefSeq lists it as uncharacterized. The record is from RefSeq and is a predicted model, not a curated record. NCBI's taxonomy places the organism in Eukaryota, Metazoa, Mollusca, Gastropoda, Architaenioglossa, Ampullariidae. The transcript has 3 exons.